UUGGUUAGUUUGGCUUAUCUGUUUUCUCUUCUAAGGAUUGGCUCGAUAUGGAGGAAAUCUGAAAAUGAUUGUGAAUUUUUACAAAUAGGAAUCAACAAAACAUUAAAUCAAAAAAAAAGAAAGAAAAUGAAGACCAGAGUCAAUGGAUCCCUGCUGAAGCAAGAACUCUUCUGUUCUCAUUGCUGAAGGAAAGAAAGGAAUUCUGUAGAGGAAGGCAGAGUGAAAACCAAGAGUGGGGAAGAUCUUCGAUGGGCUCACUUCUACACCUUCUGAGUGUGAAAUGCCAACAGAGCACUGAAAACCUCCCAAGUUCCCUAUCCAGAACUCCAGCCUAG
Molecule: long non-coding RNA, 335 nt
Filed under: Monodelphis domestica (gray short-tailed opossum)
Lineage: Eukaryota; Metazoa; Chordata; Mammalia; Didelphimorphia; Didelphidae
Description: lncRNA (ENSMODG00000034751.2)
Source: RNAcentral